UUUAGCUCUAAGAGAGGACAAGCUCAUAUUCUACCUAGCAUCCUUAAUGCUUGUAACUUCUGUGAGUGGCAAUAUUGAUUCCUACGUCUGUGCUAACUGUAUUACAGACAGCAACUGGUAGGAAGAAUUUCCUAACUUGCUGUAUCAGGCCCCAGGAUGCCAACUGAUUUGUACGUUCCCAGGAGCUGUCAUCUGGUAAUAGUAAAGAAUUGUUACUUGCUUGCUCUCAGAACCUUCCUAGUUGCAAUUCCCCCAGCAGAAGCAGGGCAGAAAAGCAGUGUUGUACAUUUGGUGCUCUCCUGUUCUCCUGUACUGUUACACCCCCUCAGGUGCCCUCAGGCUUUUACUGUGUUCCCAGUCCCAUAAUGUGUGAGCAGCCCUAUGCUGUGGUACUCAGUGUGGAAGCAGUGUCUGUGUGGGGCAGUUUCAGGAGCUGUGUGUGUCCCUGAGAUAUGCUGUGACCUGGAAUGGGAUAGUGGGAUGGCUUUUCCCAUCAGGGAGAGGCAGUGGAUGGGCUGGCUUCACCCUUCCAGGAAGAAGGGAGCAAACUGGCAUCCCUGCCAGUGAUGUUCUGGUCCAUCCUGCCUUCGUAACUUCCAAUAGCUCCCCGCAUUGCUUCUGGAGUAAACAGCUGAUGAUUAACAAGCUUGUUCCUGCAUUCAUCCCAGUCUCUUCAGUAUGUUAAAUAUCUGAUUACCUCUGAAGCUAACUGGCUUACAAUAGAUCCAGCACAACAAAAGCAUUCUCAUCUCUGUGAAAAUGGCUAUCAAAAUUGGUACCAUCUGGUUUUGAUUGUUAAGGAGUAGAAUGCUCCUUUGUGCUCAGCGACGACAUCACAAUUGGAACGCUAUGAUACAUAGACUACAUGUUUCUCAUCUUUUCAUUGCUACAGAGCUUUCAAUAGUGCAAAGUCAAUGUUUUAUUUGAACGUAUUUUUGAGGUUAACUUAAGCCAUGGGCCCGGGCUGCAGUUUGCCCUACUAAUAGACAGGGAUAAACACAACCAGCACUGGGUGAGAAUGGAGAUCUGGCUGUAAACAGAGCAUUAUUGGGAAGUGUUGUCUUCAGAAGUGCAGCUGCUUGUCUCUGACAGAUUAAAAAGGGGAGCAUCUGCAAAGCACAAUGGGGAGAAAAUGCUACAGCAGACAUUUCAUCAAGAGUCAGAGGUCUUAAAAGGGUGACUUCCAAAGUCAGAGGGAAUUUACCUUUCUUCGCUUCUGGAGGAAGACGAGCAGAGAAAAGUUUCUACCAGGCAGUGUGAUCUGUGUGUGCUUUUGCUUCCUGUAGUAAAUGCUUCCUGUGUUAACUUCUCCCUCUCCUGAGCAGCCCUUGUGCCUGGCAUGGGGUGUCACAUUGAGACCUCCCUCCAGCUCAGCAGUGGCAGCAGCUUUGGAGCCCACAGUGCUGCAUCUGCACAUGUGCAUUCGCUUUGUGUUCUGGCUGUGCUUCGCUCUGCUAGACCACCAACGGAGGGGAGGAACUUACCUGCUACGUGUGAUGUGUGAGUGCCUGCUAUUGGACAAACUGCCUGAAAGAAAGUGGAAACAGCAUUUAGAGUUGGCAGGGAGGACAGCCACUUAAUUUGACUUGAUGCUUGUUAUUUCCCAUGCAUUUCUUAAAGAGGCAUAUUUUCCUGCUGUGUUUAAGUUAACUAUUCCCCACCCAGUCUCUGUGCCAUGUCCUACCCAAGGCACUACUUCAGGUCCACAAACCUGCUCAGGUGCCCCAGGUGUGGAGGUAAUAAUAGUGAUAGUGUAUUUUCACUGUGAUUACAAUGGGGAGAACUGGCAGGAUUUGUUGCAGCAAGUUCCUUCUGCUGCCUAAAGCCAGGUCCAGAGCUCAGUGUUUAAAAUGCUGCAGCAGAAGGAGCACAUCCUUUAAGCAUCAAGAAAGUUGCAUAUUUUGUUGUUGGUGGUGGUGGUGGCGGCUUUCCCCCUUCAACAAAUGACAUUUUGCAGUGGGUUAAAUCUACCAUUUUUCCAUAUUUUCUCAGAGAGGGAUUCUGUCUGGCUGGUGUACGUGCUUGCCAUGAAAAACUAUUUAUGAGCUCCUGAGUCCCUUGCCUGCUCUUCAUGAUGUAACAGUAGCAGAUCUAGAGAAAUAACUGCGGUUAGGUUUGUAGUCUCACUUCAGAUGUACUGCUGAGUUACUGCUUUGUGCCUGAGCCAAAGGUCCACUUAUCUCAGGGAUAGCCUCCAGGUUAUACCUAUAUGCCAUAUUACCAAUUAAGGCACGCACCCAUAGUUCCAAUCCCAGAAGAAAUCAGUGCUUGAUUUCAGAAGUGCCAAUUCUUUGCUCUCCCUCCUUUUACCAUUCUCGUGAAGACAAACUUUUUGGAUGAUGUGGGAAGAAAAGCAGAAGGGUUAUGGAGAAACCUUGUCUACUUCAGCUACCACAUCCUGUUCAAUUAUGAACAAUAAAUCAGCUCAACGUAGGGCACGGUCAUCUCGGUUUAAGUAAUCAAUAUAUAUUAAUGGGAUAGGACAUAUUUGUUGGAAUCCCCUCCAAGGAACUGGCCUGGACUUCUGCAGUCCUGGUGGAAGGUGAAAGAUGUGACCAUGCCACUGCCGUCUUUGCCGAGUGAAUGCUGAACUGCAGCUCAGCUCCUUGCUCAGAGCCAGUUAUCUAUCCCAGCUCUUCUCUAAUUAUAAUACGUGCUUUAUUGCUUGUCAAUGUUUUAACCUUCCUGACACGUUAUCCCCUAGGGCAACUGAGAAACCUUAAUAAUAUAGCUGAUAAUUAUCCUCUGCACGAAUUAAGUUAUCACUGGGGUCCUAUAUAAAUCACAUGGAAAAGAUGACAGAUUUCACUGACUGGUCAUCACAGAAAUGAGAAGCGGCACAUAUUGUGACAGCUUAAUGGGGAAGGUAA
This is a long non-coding RNA of Gallus gallus (chicken), 2870 nucleotides long. RefSeq lists it as uncharacterized. The record is from RefSeq and is a predicted model, not a curated record. Lineage: Eukaryota; Metazoa; Chordata; Aves; Galliformes; Phasianidae. The transcript is spliced from 3 exons.